Halichondria panicea is the source of this 1236-nucleotide long non-coding RNA. RefSeq lists it as uncharacterized. The transcript is spliced from 5 exons. NCBI's taxonomy places the organism in Eukaryota, Metazoa, Porifera, Demospongiae, Suberitida, Halichondriidae. The record is from RefSeq and is a predicted model, not a curated record.
GCUAGCCGUGGCUCUGUUGGUUGUUGGGCUGCUCUCUCCUCGCCCAGGAUCAGGAUAGGAAGGAUCAGUCGAUGGAGUGCAUGAAGCACCCUGCUAUCCUAUGUUUUCCCUCCAGAUUCGAAUUCUGAGCCUGUGUUUGUGUCCAUUCGCCUGGAGUAUGUCGAUGCAUUGACUCUAAACCUGACACUCGGUCUGGGUCUGCCAUUCACUGUUCAAUAUUAUUUCGGGGAGAGGAUCGAUCAUCAGUGUGACGUGUGCAAGUGGGGACACUAACGUACAUGUGAACCUUAUGCUGAAUAUUAACAAUGGUGCAGUGUCUAUUCCAGCUCACUACAUCCAGAAUGAUUGCAUGGACCAGAUCCACUACCUUGACUAUACACACCGGGGGCUAACGGAGUUGGGUUUGCAAGGCUACUACACAUGCAGGACAGAGGGAGAUACUUACCUUAGCUCUCACAUUCUACAUCCCAACGAAGGAAUGGCUCUCUCAACAAUGCUCGUGGCUAUCAGUGGAGUGGUGGCCUACAGUCCUAGCUUCUUCCCAAACCAGUUCCUUGAAACUGAUUACAAUCUGCGAGAUGUAUAUGCAGCAUAGGAGGAGAAGCAGACACACUGUACAGGACUAGCAGUUACUUGUACCACUUAUCAACCACCAAGAAGAAGUGAGUCUUUGUGCAGGAAUGUCUUUUAUGGUAGAGUGGUCAAAAACCACCUGCUAGAAAAGUGUUCUGCAUGCAUGCAUCGUACUUUACUAGCUAUUCUUGCAGCUAUAAAACAAUGUCUGUUCUGCACACGCACACACACACACAUGCACACACACACACACACACAUAAUUAUAUACACACAGCCUUCUGUACGGGUGAUCCUCAUCUCACCAACCUUGAUGGAGCUAAGUUCACAUUCAAUGGUUGGGGAGAGUAUAAUUAUUCUACUGGAGUUAACUAUUGACACCACGUUCUGGAUCCAAGUUCAUAUGCAACCACUCCCAGAGUCUACUACUAAAGCUACUGAACUAGGUGGUUUCACUUUCACUAUGAGCAGGGACACUCCCGUUGAAGUGAGUGAGAGAAAAGAAUUGCUUAUUACCAUCACAUGCUGUUGUGUCAAGGGUCGAUCAAGACUACCCAAGAGUGUGGCCAGGGGCGGGGGUCUAGAGUUCUUGAACUCAUUACUCUGGUACUGGUUUCUAAAGACUGUACCCCACGAUGGACUGGAAGAGAUAGCCGAGCUAUAGU